This 708-nucleotide long non-coding RNA is filed under the name Vombatus ursinus (common wombat). RNAcentral describes it as "lncRNA (ENSVURG00010009589.1)". The record is from RNAcentral. Lineage: Eukaryota; Metazoa; Chordata; Mammalia; Diprotodontia; Vombatidae.
AGUUAAACCAUGUAUUUCUUUCAAUAUACACAAUAAAUUAUAGGCUAGACAGGGACUUGUUAUCCAUUUUUUUCUUCCUAUUCUCCUGCCUGCUUGCCCUAUUUUGACACCAUCACCAGAGCAUGGGAAGCUAAGGGAAAGAGGGCUGCCAUACUGAAUUCCAGACACUAUGCCUGGUUCUUUCUAUGCUCCUGGCUGCCACCUGUUGGAAAUGUUAAUGCUUGCAUAAGAAGCUAAGCCUCCUUAAGUCACUGAUUGUCAUCAGAAAACAGAGUUAUUUUGCAAUUCUCAGUGAGAUAAUUGGAUUAGAGAUGAAAAACUGAAAGGAACCUUGGGCAUCUUUAAGUCCAACACCUUCAUCUUACGACUGAAGAAACUGAAUCCUUAAGACUCACGCAAGGUCACACAGCUAGAAAUGGGAUCUCGUAGAUCAUUUUACUUUUGUGGUGAGGAGAUUGGGGUUAAGUGACUUGCCCAGAGUCACACAGCUAGUGAAUGUUAUGUGUCUGAGGCCGGAUUUGAACUUAGGUCCUCCUGGUUCCAGGGCCGGUGCUCUAUCCUCUGCACCAACUAGCUGCCUCACGUAGAUCAUUUUUAAUGAGGGAACUGAGGCUGAGAGGGGUGUAAUGACUGAGUCAGGAUUUGAACUCGGGUCUUCUGAUUCUUGGCCCAAUAUUCUAUUCACCAUGUCAUCUAGUUGCUUCAACC